GGUGCUUAAAGACUGUGCCCUCUGGCAUCCAUCUUGAGGGAACUGCAGCUCUGAGGACUGUUUAUCCAACUGCAACAAGUCUCACCAUCUCCAUUAAAAUCACACAACUGCAAUUAAAAAAAAAAAAAAAAAAGAGGCUUAUAAUUUUUUAUACUCACAAAGGUCUUGGCCAGGGUCUUUAGGGUCUCUAUGAGACAGGUGCAUACCUGCCCCACAGCUGAGAUCUCCUCACUCCAUAUGUGGAGGUAAUGAGCAGUGCUGGGCCCCUUGAGCAGCAGGUCUGAAGGGCUGGCCAGGUGUACACAGGUCUGCCACACAUCACAGAUUAAACCAAUAUCCCCAGCUCUUCAAUUCACACAGGCUCUUCGUGCAAGGGGUUGGCCUGUUUUACAUUUUUCCUAUCUCAAAUUCUGUUGCUCCAAGCAUUUCUUCCAAUGUCUUCAGACCUGACACAAGGAAAAUUGUUUUCUGCAUGAUGAUGAAGUGAUGCCCCUGAGGGAAACAUGGGGAUAUUGCUCCUCCCUCUGUCAAAGAGAUUCUGGGCAUAAGGUAUAUCCUUUUCACCAAAAAUAAAAACUGCCACAAAUUGAAUCACCAGAAAUGUAAUUUAUACCAGGGAGGAUAGCCUGCAGCUGUUCAGGGUUCCUGUGUGAAUCUUUUCCUUGUUUGUUCUUGUUCCUCAUUGUAGUGAUGAGACACAAAUAUGUGAGCCUGGCUAUCAUCAUUGAACAGGCAUAGGAAGAAGUGGCACCUGUGCCAGGUUUAGAAGAAAAAAGAUUAUUCAAGGAAAAUGUCUGUGAAUCUACUAAUCAUGCACAACUCGCACAUUUUAAGGCAAGAUGGAGAAAUAACUGCUGUUAAGGAGUCAAGCUUUCAAAUAAAACAAACUCCAGACCUUAAGGAUCUCUGCAUUAUCAUGGACCUUGGAAACAUCCAGAGCAGCACUAUUUUAAUGGUGUCUAUGAAUCUAUGGGGCUUAUUUAAUGGGAAAAAAAAUAUAUUGCCAUGCAAGCUCUCCAGGUGCAGUCUGAAAGGGGUAAAGGAUGGAGUCCUUCUGGCUCUUAGCAGAUCAUUGGUUGUGGUUAUUGUGAAACCCAAGUCAACCCUGGGGAUCACAGCUGCUUGUCUUAACAUAUCUAAUGAAGGCAGAUGGAAAAAUUUACAUGGAAGUCUUAAUCAAAACAGAGAAAAAACCAUUAAAUUUCCAGAAUUAAUGUGCUGAUCACACUGAUACAGAGCUACUCUACAGUCUGGGAAUGAGUUAUUCCAGAACAGACUUUAUAGCUGCUGGAGUUGAUCCAGAACCCUCUGCAGUGAAUGGUGGCUUCUGAAUUACAUGGGAUCUCCUUCACUGACUUAAAUGGUCUUUGGAUCAGGUCCAUAAUGAAUUACUGCUCGAUAUAGCCCACAAUCACAAUAAAAAAUGUUCACUGAAAAUCCCCA
RNAcentral lists this long non-coding RNA (1443 nucleotides) under Zonotrichia albicollis (white-throated sparrow). Its description in RNAcentral is "lncRNA (ENSZALG00000018160.1)". The record is from RNAcentral. Lineage: Eukaryota; Metazoa; Chordata; Aves; Passeriformes; Passerellidae.